This is an RNA transcript of Alligator sinensis (Chinese alligator), 2672 nucleotides long. It is a transcript of the gene named MOB kinase activator 3B, with no coding region annotated. The record is from RefSeq and is a predicted model, not a curated record. NCBI's taxonomy places the organism in Eukaryota, Metazoa, Chordata, Crocodylia, Alligatoridae. The transcript is spliced from 5 exons.
GAUUUUUUGACUGUCAUAGAAAGAACUGAGUCUUGAUCGCUUUGUCCAUAUCAGAAGUUUAGAGAUGCGUGGUGGCAUAAAGGGGACCACAAUUAAAGGCAGAGCAACAGGACUGUAGGAGGAACAUGACAUCUCCUGGGAAGGCUUUCAAGAGAAGGAGCUAGUGGACUGUAUAAGCAUCAGCAACAGCUUUUGGGCUAACAGCCAGUCCUAAGGACCUGUGACAGGAAGCGCCUUCACUUCACUUUGGCUCCACCCAUUAGAUCUUUUUGGUGCCUCGCUACCAGCUCCUGGAGGUCAGAAAAUCACCAGACAUGUCCAUAGCACUCAAGCAAGUCUUUAAUAAGGACAAGACCUUCCGUCCCAAAAGGAAAUUUGAACCUGGGACUCAGAGGUUUGAGCUCCAUAAACGAGCACAGGCCUCUCUGAACUCAGGGGUGGACCUGAAAGCAGCUGUGCAGCUGCCGAAUGGAGAAGACCAAAAUGACUGGGUGGCAGUACAUGUGGUUGACUUCUUUAACAGGAUCAACCUCAUCUAUGGAACGAUCUGUGAGUUCUGCACAGAGAGGACCUGCCCUGUGAUGUCUGGGGGCCCUAAGUAUGAGUACAGGUGGCAGGAUGACCUGAGAUACAAGAAGCCCACAGCAUUACCAGCACCUCAAUAUAUGAACCUUCUCAUGGACUGGAUUGAGGUGCAAAUCAACAAUGAGGACAUAUUCCCUACUAGUGUGGGUGUUCCCUUUCCAAAGAACUUCCUUCAGAUCUGCAAGAAGAUCCUGUGCAGGCUUUUCCGGGUAUUCGUUCAUGUCUACAUUCAUCAUUUCGACCGCAUCAUCAUUAUGGGUGCUGAGGCCCAUGUCAAUACUUGUUACAAGCACUUUUAUUACUUUGUAACAGAGCUCAACCUCAUAGACCGCAAGGAGCUUGAACCUUUGUGUGUGUAUGUCUAGUCUCUUUGUGCAGCUGUUAUAUCUUUUCAUUCCCAGCUGGGGCUCAAGACCAUAGUACCACAGACCAGAGUCAACAGUUCCUGCAUUCCCUCCUCUCCAUUAGAAGAGAAGGAGAUGACAACCAGGAUGUGUCACUAAAGAGCCACCCAUUGAACAUGAGAGAAAUCCAAUUUCCUCCUUCCUGCAGAGCUAGAGGAUGUGAUCACCUUCGCAGACUGAACCUGCCUGUUAAAUCCCACUAGCAGGAAAGUUGAGGACAGAAGGUUACUUUCACAGAUGCUUCCCACCAUUAUCUAUGCUCUUAACCCUAUAAUGCUGCUAGAAACUUCCUAUGAGUGACAUGGAUUACCAAGAGAGAGCAUUAACUUCGUUUUUUAAAUUGCUGAAUUAUUGAGGAGGAACUCUUCAGUCACAAACGAUGAUAGUCCAUGUUCCUACUGUUCAAGCUUUACUGGAAAUCAGGUUUCUAGGUUGACCUGUGCAUUUUUAAUUUGGACAAGAACAUGGUAAUUAGUUAAAAAUGUUUUUCUGUAUGUACUUUGCUUUCCAGGUAUGGCAUAAUAUUAAGAAGAAUCCCAGCAAGGUUCUAAUUGAACUUUGUGUCCCUUCACACCACCCAAAAUGUGUUGGUAAAGCUUCCCCAAUACCAGAUGCCUCAGCAUCUGUAGGAAUGAAACUGUUUUCUCCAGAUCAGGCAGGAUGGAAUUUGAUUGCGGUUUUUUUGAUUGGGUUUUUUUGCUUUUUUUUUUCCAUUUUGACUCUUGAUCAGAUAACAGCAGGGCAGAUUCUCACCUCUGUAGAAAUCCAAGGUAACCUCAGUGGACUCACUCUAGGAUUUACAGUCCCCUUCAUUUUUCCCUGCCCUAUUUUUAUUCCUCCCUACCCCCACCACCACCACCCCCCUCCACACACAUGCACACGCUUCUGUCUUUCAAGGUGAGGAUGUCCCUCAUACGGUGUAAAUUUAAGAUGAUCAUUGGUAUGAAGGUUACAUCAGGGCCACAGGGUAUGACAUUACUAGAAAAGUCCAGUAUGUCAUUUUCAGUGUACAGUCUGAUUUUAAACCACUGAUAACAACAUCUCAUUCGCUUAGGUAACACGUGACUGCUGCCACAGGGCUCUUUCUAAAUAUUUGAAAUAGUUUCUACUGAAGGAGGGUCUCCAGGGACAGAGUUGAACAAAUGGAAAACAAGUAGUACAGUCCCAUGUAUUCUGUGCCUUCUAAGGAAUUUCGCAUAGCCCUUUUAUUGUAUAAUAAAGAUAAUACUUUCCUGGGCAGUUCUUGAACCUGUUCCCUGAUAUCCAUCUAUUCCCAAUCCACCUGAAUGAUUUUAACAGUCUUUACUUCUGAGAUCAUAUUGGAAAUGAAUUCCACAGUGAUGGGGUACCAGCAAUGAGUUGUGCUAAACUGAAAUGUAGCUGUCAGUAAAGAAGAACAGCAAGCAUAUGUGAGCUUACUGUAUUUUCUCACAUACACCAUGCCCCAAAAUAAAGCAUGCACCUUGUAUUUGACAGAAAGAAUGUAGGGGAAAAAAAGAUUUUUCCGGAGUCAUGGCCAACGGCAUGACAUAGAGUUAAAAGUCUUCCCAGGUAAUGUGGCUUCAGGACCUUCCAGAUGUGGUACAGUUUCCUGCAGUGCCACACUUCCUGGAUACUGUGGCUAGGGACAGACAUUCAAAAUACCUGAGCCUGAAUUGAUUCAGUCUUCGCAGGUUAGUCUAA